Molecule: non-coding RNA, 2481 nt
Organism: Oryctolagus cuniculus (rabbit)
Lineage: Eukaryota; Metazoa; Chordata; Mammalia; Lagomorpha; Leporidae
Source: RefSeq, a predicted model, not a curated record
UGUGAGUGCCUUUCCAGACCAGCCCGGCUGCAGAGGGGCAGGGAGCCGGGGCUGCUGUGUGCUACUGGGCCCUGCGGUGUUAGCCCCACCGGGUCAAGAUCCCCACCCCGAACCACUGCGGAGGGUCUGUGGGUCAGCAGGGAGCGGACAGAGGGAGAGACGAGCCGGCAGCAAAGUAGCCCGCUUGCCCAGGCCCCAGCACGUCACGUCACGCCGCAGAGAGACGGAGCCUCUAUGAAGGGGAGCACUGGCCCGGACAGUCCUUGGACUUGACCCUGGGUCGCUGCACCAUCAAUGGCUGCCUUCACUCAUCCAUCAUGGAAGUCUCUCCCUCAACAAACUCAAAUAAUCCCCAUCCCUUAUCGCCAGAGGGUUGCCGCAAGUCCCCAGUGGACGCAGACACCGUGAUAGCGACGCCAGCAGUCUACCUGCUAACCCAGCCAGCUCCUGCGUGACCCACAGAGGGGCAGCGCACACAGCACAGAUGCGCUGGGCAGAGGACUGAUUCUUGCCCUGAGCGGGACAGAGGACCGGCUGAGAUUUCAUCAGACUACUCGGUGCGGCGUGCAGUUGAGAAUUUAAGAAUUGUUACCGCUGGAAUUUGCCGUGUGAUAUUUUCAACACACGACUGGGGGCAACUGGAACUAUAAAAAGUGAAGCUAUGCGCAUGUGCAGCCGCCUGUAUCUAGUCGAUGAUCCUGGUGCUCUAAACAGUGGGUUAGACAGGGGCCCCAGACAGGAAUGACAGACAGCUCGCCAUUGAGGGCUCCCGUUCCACCCAGGGAGAUAACUGUGCAAACUCACAACACAGCAGGGCGAGUGCAGGCCCGUGUGCAGGACACCUUGUGUCGUUCAGCCUCUGCGCUAAGAGAGCAUGGUCAUUAUUUGUUUACACACUGGACCUCCCCAGCGGAACUGCAGCUCUUAAGGACAGCUCUCCAGAGUCUUCUGAGAGUGCUCUGGGCCUCUGCUGAUCCCCAAGCGGAUGAGAAUGUGGGUGGGUGUGUCUCUCACACCUCUGGGGAAGGGGUAGAUACUCCAUCAGCCUGACCCUCCCCAGCCAAGGUUGGUAGAACAGGUCUAUUAGCUCCCUCCACCCUCUAGGAAGUGCAUUAUUUAAAAAAAAAACAAAAACAAAAACAAAAACAAAAACAAAAAAAAACAAGUAUCUCACAGUUCAACUGCUACAUGCAUUUAUCAGUAGCAAUUAUUAAUGCAUGAAAAGAGGACAAAAAGCUCACAAACACUCAGCACAAUUCCACAAGACACUGCAGGGGGAAAAGGGAUUGAUGUAGGUCAGCAGCACCCUAGGGUCUUGGGAGGCGCCGUUCCUGGGGCCAGUGGGCCUCUACUUCUUGGUGGAGGCGGUCUGGUUCCUAGAUGGGGCAUGCCCAAUUGGCAGGUGCAUGAUGGUCUCGUACCAGGCGGAGGAGCCAUAACGCCUGGAGGUGGGGCUGCUCUGUGGGACUCCCCUGUGCUGAUGGGUCCUGCGCUGGGGCUCCAGCAAUGUUCGUGAUAGCAGCAACAGCAAUGACCUUGUCUGCCCUGUGGAGCCAUUCCCUGCUGUGCCAGCCCCCAACUCCUCGGACAGGGGGGGCCUGCCAAUCCAGCUAAGCCUGGAGAGUUAGACCCCAGCUGAUCCUCCUCUGGCAGCCGCUCUCCCAGAGCUGUGGUACCCAAGCAAUGCCAGUGCCUUUGGGAAGUGGACCCCUCCACAGUCACGGACACCAAGUUCUCCCCACACAGGGACACCACACCCAAAACCUGCUUUUCUCCAUGCUCUGCUUGCCCCACAUUCUUCAACUUUGUCUUCCUGAACUCAUCACCAUCACAGAAGAUCCAACUUACACGCUUGUCAGAAGCCCAGAAGGGGCCAAGGAAGACUGGGCUGUCUUGUGGGGCACAUCUCAUUCUAUAGCGUGCAGCAUCUUGCUACUCUCACCCACGGUCAUGACUGCCGUUCCCCUGGAUCCAACAUUCAAAAUCUCAGGACCCCUAGGACCUACGGGAAGGCGAUGGAGAAAUGCCGGGAGCAGGUUCUCCUAGGAACAAGGCGAGCUGGGCAGAGGUUUCACAGACAGCCUUGUUUGGGCUCAGAAUUCAGCUAUCUUGAUAUUUGAACUCUGCUUUAACUAGCUGGUGGCGUCUCAGCUAAGAAUGCCCACCUCAGUUCCCCCUGGAAAUCCACCAGUUCCCCAGAAAUCCACCGCACAUACUUGCUGCCGCUGCGUCUUGGGUCCGACUUGACCCUGUUGGCUGUUCAGCAAAGCCGCCCUCCCAUGUUUGACGGACUCCCACUUCUGGCACGUGCCGCUCUGUGGCUGCCUCAGGUGCUGAUGUAGGCAGGCAUACAGGAUAAAAUUGAUCAGGUUUGUGAGCUGGAAGACCACGCCCCUGUGUGACCGCAUGCCCCUACCUGGCCACACCUGUGUACCCACCAGCCAAUCAGGUUCAUUAACCACUCCCUUUUGGAAGUGGAUU